UACGUAGGUGGCAAGCGUUGUCCGGAUUUACUGGGCGUAAAGGGCGUGCAGGCGGCUUGUUAAGUUCGAGGUGAAAGCUCCCGGCUCAACUGGGAGAGGUCCUUGGAUACUGGCAGGCUUGAGGGAGGCAGAGGAAAGUGGAAUUCCCGGUGUAGUGGUGAUAUGCGUAGAUAUCGGGAGGAACACCAGUGGCGAAGGCGGCUUUCUGGGCCUUACCUGACGCUGAGACGCGAAAGCGUGGGGAGCGAACCGG
RNAcentral lists this ribosomal RNA (253 nucleotides) under uncultured prokaryote. RNAcentral describes it as "partial 16S ribosomal RNA". It matches the Rfam family "Bacterial small subunit ribosomal RNA", at positions 524 to 776 of the family's 1533-position model. The record is from RNAcentral.